This is a long non-coding RNA of Sinocyclocheilus grahami, 940 nucleotides long. RefSeq lists it as uncharacterized. The record is from RefSeq and is a predicted model, not a curated record. The transcript has 3 exons. Lineage: Eukaryota; Metazoa; Chordata; Actinopteri; Cypriniformes; Cyprinidae.
UAAAGAAGUACAUUUAUUUUGAUGUUUUGACUAAUAUACAUGCAGUAUAUAUAUAUAUAUAUUGUGGAACAAAAUACAAGUCUCUUACACUAAUGUUAGCCUUUUUACACGUCUGAACUAUUUCUGAUCAUCAACGUCUGUAUGUCACAUCUUUAUCUCGGUCUUAAUUUGGUCUCCCUAGAAAAACCUAACCGAAACCUUUUGUUACCAUAUUCCUUCUUUCAGUUAUCAGUGUCCUAAAGGAUGAGUAAUUCACUGCAGAUGCUGCAAGCAGAACUAACACGGAGAACUAUGGUCUGUUCACUUGAUCUCCUCUCUUGUGUAAUUAGUGCUUGAUAUUUUGGAUGUGUUUGGACAUGUAACUCAGGGCUCAACACGAGUGAUUUUGGUGGCUUCUGCUUCUUUUGGAGCGAGCUCAGCUCUUCUUGUUCUUACGACACACAGUGCUUUGGAGCUCAAGCAGAGUUGAAGCACGUUCAUCCACCCAGGAGCCAGAUGAAGGACACAGAGAUCUCCGUGGAUCCUCAGCACUUCAGAAACAGCCCGUUUCACACAAGCACAAGCUGGCCCAGUCUCUAGAGGAUCUGGAACCUGAACUCGCUGCCAGACCGAGACUGAGAUUCACUAAACAGGAGAAACUCACAGGACUCCAGGCUGCACACUUCAGUCUACAAAUAGACCGGACGGACACUACUGAGCGCACCGCGAGACGAGAAGCACACACCAGAGCUACCAGAGGACCAGAAGUUGUGUAGCAGUCAGCCAGCCACUCACAUUACCAACACAGUCUGGCGGGGAAACUCAAACUGCUGUGAUCCCGCUAUACCUUGCUUUUGUCUUUUGGAGCUUUAAUACAUCAAGGCGAUCAAAAAUGGCUUGGCUAAAGCGGUGAACUGGAGAAGUGUAAAUGGGAAAACACCAAAUAAAAACAUUGUGAUUG